This 769-nucleotide unclassified non-coding RNA is filed under the name Leishmania donovani. Its description in RNAcentral is "gene:LdHU3.14.0320(CDS-product:Scavenger_mRNA_dec apping_enzyme_C-_binding/HIT_domain_containing_protein_puta tive)". Lineage: Eukaryota; Euglenozoa; Kinetoplastea; Trypanosomatida; Trypanosomatidae. The record is from RNAcentral.
GACUUUAAGUCUCCCGCCUCUCCCUCUACAGUCUGCACUCUCACUCGCUCGUAACGUGUUACCUCACCACCUCAGCUCGCAUCAUGGCCGCCAACUGCAUCUUCUGCAAGAUCAUCAAGGGUGAGAUCCCCUGCGCGAAGGUCGCCGAGACGUCCAAGGCGCUCGCCUUCAUGGACAUCAACCCCCUCUCGCGGGGACACGUACUCGUCAUCCCGAAGGAUCACGCAAGCUGCCUGCACGAGCUGGGCAUGGAGGACGCCGCGGAUGUGGGUGUGCUGCUUGCCAAGGUCAGCCGUGCGGUCGCUGGACCGGAUGGCUCCAUGCAGUACAAUGUCCUUCAGAACAACGGCAGUCUAGCUCACCAGGAGGUGCCGCACGUCCACUUCCACAUCAUCCCGAAGACGGAUGAGAAGACGGGGCUGAAAAUCGGCUGGGACACAGUCAAGGUAGCGUCGGACGAACUCGCCGAGGACGCGAAGCAGUACAGCGAGGCGGUCGCGAAGAUUCAGUAGCGGCCAGGAACGCGACAAGAAGACAACGUGAGCCAUGUCGGUGCGGCGGCGCUGUCUUUCUCCUUCUCCCGCAACACAUAUCCUUCAGCCCCCACCUACCCACACGCACACACACGGCCUUCACAACUUCGCAUCCCCCGCGUAAGAGCACGUGUACGUCGCUGUUUCUUCUUUUCUCUGUAUGUGCGCCAUCGAAGGCGCUCAGGUAUGCUGAGGCUCUCCUGUCUUCCGUCUUUGUCGCUCCCACCUCCCCCCCC